AUACGGAGGGUGCGAGCGUUAAUCGGAAUUACUGGGCGUAAAGCGUACGUAGGCGGUUGGUUAAGUUAGAUGUGAAAGCCCCGGGCUUAACCUGGGAACUGCAUUUAAAACUGGCGAACUAGAGUUGAGUAGAGGGGAGUGGAAUUUCAGGUGGAGCGGUGAAAUGCGUAGAGAUCUGAAGGAACACCAGUGGCGAAGGCGACUCCCUGGACUCGAACUGACGCUGAGGUACGAAAGCGUGGGUAGCAAACGGGAUUAGAUACCCUAGUAGUCC
This 274-nucleotide ribosomal RNA is filed under the name uncultured bacterium. Its description in RNAcentral is "partial 16S ribosomal RNA". It matches the Rfam family "Bacterial small subunit ribosomal RNA", at positions 523 to 796 of the family's 1533-position model. The record is from RNAcentral.